GACGAACGCUGGCGGCGUGCUUAACACAUGCAAGUCGAACGGUAAGGCCCUUCGGGGUACACGAGUGGCGAACGGGUGAGUAACACGUGGGUGAUCUACCCUGCACUUCGGGAUAAGCCUGGGAAACUGGGUCUAAUACCGGAUAGGACCACUGCCUGCAUGGGUGGUGGUGGAAAGCUUUUGCGGUGUGGGAUGGGCCCGCGGCCUAUCAGCUUGUUGGUGGGGUGAUGCCCACCAAGGCGACGACGGGUAACCGGCCGGAGAGGGUGACCGGCCACACUGGGACUGAGAUACGGCCCAGACUCCUACGGGAGGCAGCAGUGGGGAAUAUUGCACAAUGGGCGCAAGCCUGAUGCAGCGACGCCGCGUGAGGGAUGACGGCCUUCGGGUUGUAAACCUCUUUCAGCACCGACGAAGCGCAAGUGACGGUAGGUGCAGAAGAAGGACCGGCCAACUACGUGCCAGCCGCCGCCGUAA
This 477-nucleotide ribosomal RNA is filed under the name uncultured bacterium. RNAcentral's name for it is "partial 16S ribosomal RNA". It matches the Rfam family "Bacterial small subunit ribosomal RNA", at positions 28 to 523 of the family's 1533-position model. The record is from RNAcentral.